Molecule: long non-coding RNA, 1542 nt
Filed under: Anser brachyrhynchus (Pink-footed goose)
Lineage: Eukaryota; Metazoa; Chordata; Aves; Anseriformes; Anatidae
Description: lncRNA (ENSABRG00000021299.1)
Source: RNAcentral
CGCCGCCGCGCGGCCGCCGAGCCCGGCCGCGGAGCCCCCGCCGGGCUUGAAGGUCACCUCCGCCCGCUCGCCCCGCUCCGGAGCCGCUUUCGGCGGAGGCUGGCGAGCGGCAGCGCCUCCGCCCACAGCCGGCCAGGUCCCUGCCCGAGCGCCGCGGGGCUCCCGCUGGCCACGGCACAGCGCAGCAGCGGGAAGCCGCCCGCUUCGCUCGCCCCCUCCACCGGCCGCCGCUGCCCGCUCUGCCCGCGGGCGGGCCGGGGGCUCCGCUACCGGGCGGCGGCGGCGGGGGGGGCGCGGCGCGCAGCCGGGAGGGCGGGGAAGGGCUGAGGCGGCGGCGGCGGCGGCGGCGGCGAGGAGCCGCGUCCCGCUGCCACUUUCCCGGCGCGGCCGCUGGCUUCGGACGGGAGAGGCGCCGCGGUCGCCGCCCGCCUCUUUAUGGAAACUACACAGAAGCCCCAUGCAAGUGGUGCCUAUUGUUUUCAUGAUCGGAGACUUCUUUCUCGAUUAUCACUGGAGGAGAGAGGGAGGACAAAUGGAGCUGAAUCUGGAGUAAAACCAAGGGAAAUUCUCACAUUAAAGAUUCACCGAUGAAUCUGCAGACUUUAUGCAAAUCCAGUGGGUAUUUUGUGGAAGUAUUAAUGAGUGUCACAUCCUGAUUACUGCAGACUUUCCCUUACGUUUCCAGCUGUAACAAAUCCAACUGAAACUGCUAAAAUCAACAACAGAAGUCCACAACAGUUUGUCAGAAAAAUGUAUGAAAAUUAUUUUUAACGUGUUUUACCCUAAUUAUUCUUGGAAACGUAUCUAGGUGUUAAUUUCAGAUAUCCUAUAUGUGUUCCCUGAUGGAUGACAGAUUUUAUGUUGGUUCCCUUAAAUCUGACAACAUUUAUAUUGGUCCCCUUAAAUCCCUCUAAAGGACCAUCUCCAGGACUGAGGUGUUUUUUGCAUCUCAGUGCAGGGGAAGCCUUGUAAGCUAACUGCCCUGGCACUGCGUCUCCUAUUAGAAAUCUGCUUCUUUACCAACAGCUACUGUGAGCAACCCUUUUUGCCAUGGCAUGUACUGGUCCUUUUGCUUUGCAUGACCUGCAGCCUGUGACAUAUAAAUUGACUCCAGACACAUCGAUUUAUUUGCUCUCAAAAACUGCAAAGAAUACAAAGUAAAAAAUAAUUCCUGAAAAGCCCUAAAAAACCAGUUAAUUAGCAUGUUCCUGUUUACCGAAGAAUUCUGUUCAAGGUUUUAUAUAUUAAAACAGAGCUAACUUGCCUGUCUCCCUGUGACCUUUUUGUUGCGUGGGCAGCCUGCUCUAGCUUGUCUCCCAGCCCUUAUGGGUUUUGAAUUUGUGAGGUGAUUUCAUGUUCCCUUUGCUCUCUUUUCACUUGGUCUUGCAAAGGCAUUCCGUCUUUAGAACUGGGCUAGGAAAGCCAUUGAAGGUAUCAUCAGUGUACAAAUAUGGGGGGAGAAAUGUUUUCAUGGCUCUGAUAUGAAGACAUCUAAAUAUGAUAGCAGACUGGGAGUUUCAUAUCUUUUGUUUAGCCUGUCUU